This 28-nucleotide non-coding RNA is filed under the name Homo sapiens (human). The record is from RNAcentral. Lineage: Eukaryota; Metazoa; Chordata; Mammalia; Primates; Hominidae.
AGGACUACUGUAAAAAUGAGGCAGGUAC